UCCUUGAGAGUACAUUUCUGGCCAGGCGU
RNAcentral lists this non-coding RNA (29 nucleotides) under Mus musculus (house mouse). Lineage: Eukaryota; Metazoa; Chordata; Mammalia; Rodentia; Muridae. The record is from RNAcentral.